RNAcentral lists this ribosomal RNA (303 nucleotides) under uncultured soil bacterium. Its description in RNAcentral is "bacterial SSU rRNA". It matches the Rfam family "Bacterial small subunit ribosomal RNA", at positions 28 to 324 of the family's 1533-position model. The record is from RNAcentral.
GAUGAACGCUAGCGGCAGGCUUAAUACAUGCAAGUCGUGGGGCAGCAUGACUGUAGCAAUACAGUUGAUGGCGACCGGCAAACGGGUGCGGAACACGUACACAACCUUCCUUUAAGUGGAGAAUAGCCCGGGGAAACCCGGAUUAAUACUCCGUAACAUAUUGACUCGGCAUCGGGUUAAUAUUAUAGCUCCGGCGCUUAAUGAUGGGUGUGCGCCUGAUUAGGUAGUUGGCGGGGUAACGGCCCACCAAGCCUUCGAUCAGUAACUGGUGUGAGAACACGACCAGUCACACGGGCACUGAGA